AUGCGAUAAGUAAUGUGAAUUGCAGAAUUCAGUGAAUCAUCGAAUCUUUGAACGCACCUUGCGCUCCUUGGUAUUCCGAGGAGCAUGCCUGUUUGAGUGUCAUGAAUUCUCAACCCCCAAUGCUUUAUUGCAUUGCUUGGGGUUGGUCCUUGGGUGUUUGCCGUUCCGACGGCUCGCCUCAAAUGUAUUAGCUGGACCGCACGACGAUGCGCAGGUUCUACUCAACGUGAUAAGUUCAAUCGUUGAGGAUGCAGUUCUCCCUUGCGGAGAGAGGCAGCCUGCCGACAGUCAUGUGCACAUGUCUGCUUCUAACCCGGCAAAGGGAUACGACACCGUAUCCCUGACCUACACUUAAUGCUCUGGCCUCAAAUCAGGUAGGACUACCCGCUGAACUUAA
This 397-nucleotide unclassified non-coding RNA is filed under the name uncultured Basidiomycota. Its description in RNAcentral is "partial contains 5.8S ribosomal RNA, internal transcribed spacer 2, and large subunit ribosomal RNA". The stretch from base 1 to 102 matches the Rfam family "5.8S ribosomal RNA", at positions 53 to 154 of the family's 154-position model. Lineage: Eukaryota; Fungi; Basidiomycota. The record is from RNAcentral.